RNAcentral lists this ribosomal RNA (1519 nucleotides) under Bacillus subtilis. Its description in RNAcentral is "bacterial SSU rRNA". It matches the Rfam family "Bacterial small subunit ribosomal RNA". The record is from RNAcentral. Lineage: Bacteria; Bacillati; Bacillota; Bacilli; Caryophanales; Bacillaceae.
AUUAGAGUUUGAUCCUGGCUCAGGACGAACGCUGGCGGCGUGCCUAAUACAUGCAAGUCGAGCGGACAGAUGGGAGCUUGCUCCCUGAUGUUAGCGGCGGACGGGUGAGUAACACGUGGGUAACCUGCCUGUAAGACUGGGAUAACUCCGGGAAACCGGGGCUAAUACCGGAUGGUUGUUUGAACCGCAUGGUUCAAACAUAAAAGGUGGCUUCGGCUACCACUUACAGAUGGACCCGCGGCGCAUUAGCUAGUUGGUGAGGUAACGGCUCACCAAGGCGACGAUGCGUAGCCGACCUGAGAGGGUGAUCGGCCACACUGGGACUGAGACACGGCCCAGACUUCUACGGGAGGCAGCAGUAGGGAAUCUUCCGCAAUGGACGAAAGUCUGACGGAGCAACGCCGCGUGAGUGAUGAAGGUUUUCGGAUCGUAAAGCUCUGUUGUUAGGGAAGAACAAGUACCGUUCGAAUAGGGCGGUACCUUGACGGUACCUAACCAGAAAGCCACGGCUAACUACGUGCCAGCAGCCGCGGUAAUACGUAGGUGGCAAGCGUUGUCCGGAAUUAUUGGGCGUAAAGGGCUCGCAGGCGGUUUCUUAAGUCUGAUGUGAAAGCCCCCGGCUCAACCGGGGAGGGUCAUUGGAAACUGGGGAACUUGAGUGCAGAAGAGGAGAGUGGAAUUCCACGUGUAGCGGUGAAAUGCGUAGAGAUGUGGAGGAACACCAGUGGCGAAGGCGACUCUCUGGUCUGUAACUGACGCUGAGGAGCGAAAGCGUGGGGAGCGAACAGGAUUAGAUACCCUGGUAGUCCACGCCGUAAACGAUGAGUGCUAAGUGUUAGGGGGUUUCCGCCCCUUAGUGCUGCAGCUAACGCAUUAAGCACUCCGCCUGGGGAGUACGGUCGCAAGACUGAAACUCAAAGGAAUUGACGGGGGCCCGCACAAGCGGUGGAGCAUGUGGUUUAAUUCGAAGCAACGCGAAGAACCUUACCAGGUCUUGACAUCCUCUGACAAUCCUAGAGAUAGGACGUCCCCUUCGGGGGCAGAGUGACAGGUGGUGCAUGGUUGUCGUCAGCUCGUGUCGUGAGAUGUUGGGUUAAGUCCCGCAACGAGCGCAACCCUUGAUCUUAGUUGCCAGCAUUCAGUUGGGCACUCUAAGGUGACUGCCGGUGACAAACCGGAGGAAGGUGGGGAUGACGUCAAAUCAUCAUGCCCCUUAUGACCUGGGCUACACACGUGCUACAAUGGACAGAACAAAGGGCAGCGAAACCGCGAGGUUAAGCCAAUCCCACAAAUCUGUUCUCAGUUCGGAUCGCAGUCUGCAACUCGACUGCGUGAAGCUGGAAUCGCUAGUAAUCGCGGAUCAGCAUGCCGCGGUGAAUACGUUCCCGGGCCUUGUACACACCGCCCGUCACACCACGAGAGUUUGUAACACCCGAAGUCGGUGAGGUAACCUUUUAGGAGCCAGCCGCCGAAGGUGGGACAGAUGAUUGGGGUGAAGUCGUAACAAGGUAGCCGUAAU